Long non-coding RNA from Nanorana parkeri, 547 nucleotides. RefSeq lists it as uncharacterized. Lineage: Eukaryota; Metazoa; Chordata; Amphibia; Anura; Dicroglossidae. The record is from RefSeq and is a predicted model, not a curated record. The transcript has 3 exons.
GAGACUGUGACAUACAGAUGAAUGGAGACUGUGACAUACAGGUGAGGGAACACUGUGACAUGUGACAUACAGGUGAGGGGACACAGUGACAUGUCACAUACAGGUGAGGGUACACAGUGACAUGUCACAUACAGUUGAGGGGACACUGUGAAAUGUGACAUACAGGUGAGGGGACAAUGACAUGUGACAUACAGGUGAGGGGACACAGUGACAUGUGACAUACAGGUGAGGGGACACUGUGACAUGUGACAUACAUGUGAGGGGACACUGUGAAAUGUGACAUAUAUGUGAGGGGACACUGUGACAUGUGACAUAGAGGUGAGGGACACUGUGACAUGUGACAUACAGGUGAGGGACACUGUGAUAUGUGACAUACAGGUGAGGGACACUGUGACAUGUGACAUACAGGUGAGGGACACUGUGAUAUGUGACAUACAUAUGAGUGGAGGCUGUGACAUACAGGUGAGGGGACACUGUGACAUGUGUCAUACAGGUGAGGGAACACAGUGACAGGUGAGGGGACACUGUGAAAUGUGACAUACAGGUG